RNAcentral lists this ribosomal RNA (1061 nucleotides) under Vibrio alginolyticus. RNAcentral describes it as "bacterial SSU rRNA". It matches the Rfam family "Bacterial small subunit ribosomal RNA", at positions 482 to 1533 of the family's 1533-position model. Lineage: Bacteria; Pseudomonadati; Pseudomonadota; Gammaproteobacteria; Vibrionales; Vibrionaceae. The record is from RNAcentral.
CAGAAGAAGCACCGGCUAACUCCGUGCCAGCAGCCGCGGUAAUACGGAGGGUGCGAGCGUUAAUCGGAAUUACUGGGCGUAAAGCGCAUGCAGGUGGUUUGUUAAGUCAGAUGUGAAAGCCCGGGGCUCAACCUCGGAAUAGCAUUUGAAACUGGCAGACUAGAGUACUGUAGAGGGGGGUAGAAUUUCAGGUGUAGCGGUGAAAUGCGUAGAGAUCUGAAGGAAUACCGGUGGCGAAGGCGGCCCCCUGGACAGAUACUGACACUCAGAUGCGAAAGCGUGGGGAGCAAACAGGAUUAGAUACCCUGGUAGUCCACGCCGUAAACGAUGUCUACUUGGAGGUUGUGGCCUUGAGCCGUGGCUUUCGGAGCUAACGCGUUAAGUAGACCGCCUGGGGAGUACGGUCGCAAGAUUAAAACUCAAAUGAAUUGACGGGGGCCCGCACAAGCGGUGGAGCAUGUGGUUUAAUUCGAUGCAACGCGAAGAACCUUACCUACUCUUGACAUCCAGAGAACUUUCCAGAGAUGGAUUGGUGCCUUCGGGAACUCUGAGACAGGUGCUGCAUGGCUGUCGUCAGCUCGUGUUGUGAAAUGUUGGGUUAAGUCCCGCAACGAGCGCAACCCUUAUCCUUGUUUGCCAGCGAGUAAUGUCGGGAACUCCAGGGAGACUGCCGGUGAUAAACCGGAGGAAGGUGGGGACGACGUCAAGUCAUCAUGGCCCUUACGAGUAGGGCUACACACGUGCUACAAUGGCGCAUACAGAGGGCGGCCAACUUGCGAAAGUGAGCGAAUCCCAAAAAGUGCGUCGUAGUCCGGAUUGGAGUCUGCAACUCGACUCCAUGAAGUCGGAAUCGCUAGUAAUCGUGGAUCAGAAUGCCACGGUGAAUACGUUCCCGGGCCUUGUACACACCGCCCGUCACACCAUGGGAGUGGGCUGCAAAAGAAGUAGGUAGUUUAACCUUCGGGGGGACGCUUACCACUUUGUGGUUCAUGACUGGGGUGAAGUCGUAACAAGGUAGCGCUAGGGGAACCUGGCGCUGGAUCACCUCCUUAUACGAUGAU